AGCUCCUCCAACCCCGCCCCCUGGGACAACUACGCCGCCCUCCAUGCUGCCCUCAACAACAUCGCGCACCAGCAGCAGCACGGCUCCGGCGAGUGGUUCCUCGACACUGGAGCAACUUCCCACGUCACCGGUGAGACGGGACCUCAAAACCCGGCGCAUCCUAAUGACGUCCAGUAGCCAUGGAGACUUAUAUCCGUUCUUCAGCUCCAGCGCAGUCCAGCAGAUCCUCUCCGUCGAUGGCAGCUUGUGGCAUCAACGCCUUGGGCAUCUUAGCAGUAGUUCCCUUUCAGUCUUAGCUAAAACUUUUCUUCAAUCACCAUGUAAUAGAGAUAGUUUGAAUUCCCAUAUUUGUGAGUCCUGCCAAUUAGGCAAGCAAUCAAGAUUACCUUUUUCAUCC
Molecule: long non-coding RNA, 397 nt
Organism: Triticum aestivum (bread wheat)
Lineage: Eukaryota; Viridiplantae; Streptophyta; Magnoliopsida; Poales; Poaceae
Exons: 2
Source: RefSeq, a predicted model, not a curated record